This 465-nucleotide ribosomal RNA is filed under the name uncultured bacterium. RNAcentral describes it as "partial 16S ribosomal RNA". It matches the Rfam family "Bacterial small subunit ribosomal RNA", at positions 28 to 507 of the family's 1533-position model. The record is from RNAcentral.
GACGAACGCUGGCGGCGUGCUUAACACAUGCAAGUCGAACGGAAAGGCCCCUUUGGGGGUACUCGAGUGGCGAACGGGUGAGUAACACGUGAGUAACCUGCCCUUGACUUCGGGAUAACUUCAGGAAACUGGGGCUAAUACCGGAUAGGAAUCCUUGCUGCAUGGUGGGGGUUGGAAAGCUUCGGCGGUUUUGGAUGGACUCGCGGCUUAUCAGCUUGUUGGUGGGGUAGUGGCUUACCAAGGCUUUGACGGGUAGCCGGCCUGGGAGGGCGACCGGCCACAUUGGGACUGAGAUACGGCCCAGACUCCUACGGGGGGCAGCAGUGGGGAAUAUUGCACAAUGGGCGGAAGCCUGAUGCAGCAACGCCGCGGGCGGGAUGACGGCCUUCGGGUUGUAAACCGCUUUCAGCAGGGGCGAAGCUUGUGGUGACGGUACCUGCAGAAGAAGCACCGGCUAACUACGUG